This 253-nucleotide ribosomal RNA is filed under the name uncultured bacterium. RNAcentral describes it as "partial 16S ribosomal RNA". It matches the Rfam family "Bacterial small subunit ribosomal RNA", at positions 524 to 776 of the family's 1533-position model. The record is from RNAcentral.
UACGAAGGGUGCAAGCGUUAUUCGGAAUCAUUGGGCGUAAAGGGUGUGUAGACGGCGUGCUAAGUCUGUUGUUAAAUUCCCCAGCCUAACUGGGGGCUUGCGGUGGAUACUGGCAUGCUAGAGGGUGGAAGAGAGAAGUGGAAUUCUCGGAGUAGCGGUAAAAUGCGUAGAUCUCGAGAGGAACACCAAUGGCGAAGGCAGCUUCUUGGUCCAUUCCUGACGUUGAAACACGAAAGCGUGGGGAGCAAACAGG